UAUUAAAUAUGCUAUGAAAGCCAUGGUGUUUCGGUUAUUUGCUGUUAAAAAUAGGAUUUUGUUUAAUACCUAUGCCGAGGAUAUUUGAUUUCAUUCGUCUAAGAACGAAAUAUAUUCUAUUUGAUCAAGACCUUGGUGUUUAAUGCUAAAUGCAGAAGUUCUGUCAUAAAAUUUGAAAUGGCACUCUGAACAUAAAUCAGAAGAAACUAAUGUUUAUUUUAAAUGCCAUAAAUUAUCAGGAAAAACUUCAUUUUCAUUAAAUAUACUCAGGUACGAAUUUUUUGCACCAAGAAUAGUCGUCUUGUUUGGGAAUAUAUUUAUUUGUGAACAGCAUUUCCUCACAUUUGAAAACUAUUAAGAAAAC
Long non-coding RNA from Stegodyphus dumicola, 364 nucleotides. NCBI's taxonomy places the organism in Eukaryota, Metazoa, Arthropoda, Arachnida, Araneae, Eresidae. The record is from RefSeq and is a predicted model, not a curated record.